This 422-nucleotide ribosomal RNA is filed under the name Verrucomicrobiota bacterium. RNAcentral's name for it is "Verrucomicrobia bacterium partial 16S ribosomal RNA". It matches the Rfam family "Bacterial small subunit ribosomal RNA", at positions 355 to 776 of the family's 1533-position model. Lineage: Bacteria; Pseudomonadati; Verrucomicrobiota. The record is from RNAcentral.
UGGGGAAUUUUGCACAAUGGGCGCAAGCCUGAUGCAGCGACGCCGCGUGAGGGAUGAAGGCCUUCGGGUUGUAAACCUUUUUCGCUCAUGGUCAAGCCGCAGCUUUGGGUUGUGGUGAGGGUAGUGGGUAAAGAAGCGCCGGCUAACUACGUGCCAGCAGCCGCGGUAAUACGUAGGGCGCGAGCGUUGUCCGGAAUUAUUGGGCGUAAAGGGCUUGUAGGCGGUUGGCCGCGUCUGCCGUGAAAUCCUCUGGCUUAACUGGGGGCGUGCGGUGGGUACGGGUUGAGUGGAGUGCGGUAGGGGGGACUGGAAUCCCUGGUGUAGCGAUGGAAUGCGCAGAUAUCAGGAGGAACACCGGUGGCGAAGGCGGGUCUCUGGGCCGUUACUGACGCUGAGGAGCGAAAGCGUGGGGAGCGAACAGG